This is a non-coding RNA of Sus scrofa (pig), 430 nucleotides long. The record is from RefSeq and is a predicted model, not a curated record. Lineage: Eukaryota; Metazoa; Chordata; Mammalia; Artiodactyla; Suidae.
CAAGCAUCCUUUCUCUGCAGCCAGCACAGGGUUGCUUAGAACAAAGUCUUCAUGGGCAGCGAUGGGUGAGGUGAGAGCCAGCAGAUGUUGCAGGUCCUUGGACCCCCACUGAGGCUCACCCAGAGCGACAAGCCAAGCUGAACUUUCUGAUUUCUACCACCACGGAUUCGUCUUGUCUGUCCUUGGAUUUUGCCUGCAUCUGCGGAAGCACGUGGACGUUCCUGGGCCAGGGAUCGAACCUGUGCCGCAGCAGUGAUAAUGCUGGAUCCUCAACCUGAUGAGCUACCAGGGAACCCCUGUUUUAAAAAAAGUCAUGCCGCUUGUGUUCCUCGGCAGUCUUUGUUAAGGAGUAGGCCCAAUCCUUGUCUAAGUCCAUGGGAGCAAAGAAGCAUUUUACAAUGGGAUCAACUCAUGGAAAGAGGUCAUCAAA